CUUAUUUGGCUCCUGUCUGCAGGGUUUACGCGCACGUUGGAAUCGAAGAGAGCUCUGUUGUUGCAAUGUUCAGCCCACAAGAGCUUACAGGUGAAGGAAUGGGACAAGACCCAUCUUUAUGCAAAGCCAGCGUUACAGUAAUGUUCCAGCAUCUCAUAAUCUAUCCUGAGGAAUUCAGCUGCCUCCCAGGGUGAAUACAGGUAAUUAUCCAAAUUGGUAUAUGUCAUCUCUAAAUGUUCACAGGAAAACAAGUGGCCGGCGGAAGCAAUAUUGUUUUUUGGCGCCUUCCAUCUUGUUCCUCUUGAAAUGAUUUUCUGGGGAGGGAGAUCGCAACCCGGUACUACAGUUCUUGUAAGGGUGUGCUGUUACCCUCAUCCAUAUAUCGAUCACGUUACUGUCAGAUGAUUUGAAUUGAUAAGCUGAUGUUCUGUGAGGUACAAAAGUUAAUAGCAUGUUAGAGUUCUGAUGGCAGUUGUUGUUUAUGAAUAAGCUUCAUUCCAUCCUAAUACCUUAAAAUAACUAAUUUGCUUUCCUUUCCAGGUAUUUCUGAUGACAGUCUGCCUCUAUCUUACAGUAAGUUGUUUUUCGAAUUCUAUGGGCCUAUUAUCUAAUAGAUAAGAUAGCCAUCUUGAAAUUUGUUACAUUUGUUACCAAAGCCU
This 659-nucleotide small RNA is filed under the name Pongo abelii (Sumatran orangutan). RNAcentral describes it as "retained intron". The stretch from base 397 to 471 matches the Rfam family "Small nucleolar RNA SNORD28". Lineage: Eukaryota; Metazoa; Chordata; Mammalia; Primates; Hominidae. The record is from RNAcentral.